CAGUAGCCACGGUAAGACGGAGGGGGCUAGCGUUGUUCGGAAUUACUGGGCGUAAAGCGCACGUAGGCGGAUAUUUAAGUCAGGGGUGAAAUCCCGCAGCUCAACUGCGGAACUGCCUUUGAUACUGGGUAUCUUGAGUAUGGAAGAGGUUAGUGGAAUUGCGAGUGUAGAGGUGAAAUUCGUAGAUAUUCGCAGGAACACCAGUGGCGAAGGCGGCUAACUGGUCCAUAACUGACGCUGAGGUGCGAAAGCGUGGGGAGCAAACAGGAUUAGAGACCCCUGUAGUCCCUGUCUCUUAUAC
This 301-nucleotide ribosomal RNA is filed under the name uncultured bacterium. Its description in RNAcentral is "partial 16S ribosomal RNA". It matches the Rfam family "Bacterial small subunit ribosomal RNA", at positions 509 to 807 of the family's 1533-position model. The record is from RNAcentral.